AAUAAACACUGCUGUUGUGCUUGUUUGUAGGGUCCGGCCAGCUGUGUGUCCUUCUCGAGGACUGGAGACUUCAGAUGAACAGGUGAUGCUGUGGAGGACUAACUUUGACAGCGUGGAUUACAGUGAGGUGCUGCAGCAGAAUGAGGCUUCGGGAUGAGACGGCUUCGGUUCACAGCCGGCCGUCAGCACAGGAGUCAGGAGCCGCUGGUCUGUCUGAGGGCCGUACCUCACAGAAGAGUGGCAGCACAGCUCUGGUCAGACCUGGAGCCAGUGUGGACGCCCCAUCUGACGGCCAGCAGGACAGCGUUCCCACUGCGCUCACCAGCACCC
This is a long non-coding RNA of Cyprinus carpio carpio, 330 nucleotides long. Lineage: Eukaryota; Metazoa; Chordata; Actinopteri; Cypriniformes; Cyprinidae. The record is from Ensembl.